UUGAGCUUCAGGAUUAGAAUAAACAGUUCUAUUAGUUACAACGCGAAACAUUCCUGGAAGCGAAAUACCUGCUCCACUUCCCAUUGUAACGCCGUCCAAAAUAGCCACAUUUGGCUUGAGAUAGGUUCCUAACAGGUAAACGAAUUUAUACAAUGUCUGGAAGAACUUCUUGCAUUCCUCAACCUUCCCUUCAUUAAUCAACUCAUAAAGUGUGACGACGUCUGCUCCGGAGCAGAAUGCCCUGCCAUUACUCUUCAUCAUUACAAAUCCAAUAUCUGAGUUUUCCUCCCAAG
This 293-nucleotide unclassified non-coding RNA is filed under the name Hevea brasiliensis (rubber tree). Lineage: Eukaryota; Viridiplantae; Streptophyta; Magnoliopsida; Malpighiales; Euphorbiaceae. The record is from RNAcentral.